GGAAAAUAUUCUUUAGGAAAAGGCAAUCACUCAACCAAGUAUUUUAUACUACGUACAAUAUAACCAGCUGGAUAAUUGGAGCAGUCUCAGCCACUAAUUAGUGCUACUAAUUAUCAACACUGCCCACCAGACUUCUGCUAUUAGCAUAGUAGCAACCACUGUAGCUCACAAAACAGUCUACAGAUUCAUCGAACGCCGAAGGAAGUUAGUUUUUACCUGAGCAGAAAAGGUGGCCGUAAUGGUGAUGUACGCCAUCUUGAUGUGCGCCUAUACGACCUCCUGCGACAUCACGGCGAAGCGGCGCUUCACCCAGCCGGUCGGACGCCCUGCAGUUCCCCGCCUUCUCCCAGGGAUCUGCUGGAGGGGAACGACGGCACGCGAAAGCAGCUGCUAUAGCCUUGGCCGGGGCUUGGGCGCGUUGGACUCUGCUAGCGCUGGUCGCGGCUGCUCCCUCACAUCGCUGGCCACCCCUCACGGCGGACCUCACCUUGUGGAAUCCUCUCUCAUGGAGCUCACUUCAGUGAAAUAAUGGAACCUAGAAGUGUCCGCCGGAUGAGGCAAGAGAAAGCAAUUCUUUAGUAUUAAA
This 586-nucleotide ribosomal RNA is filed under the name Triticum aestivum (bread wheat). RNAcentral describes it as "partial small subunit ribosomal RNA". Lineage: Eukaryota; Viridiplantae; Streptophyta; Magnoliopsida; Poales; Poaceae. The record is from RNAcentral.